GUGGGGAAUUUUGGACAAUGGGCGCAAGCCUGAUCCAGCCAUGCCGCGUGUGUGAAGAAGGCCUUCGGGUUGUAAAGCACUUUUGUCCGGGAAGAAAUCUUCCAGGUUAAUACCCUGGGAGGCUGACGGUACCGGAAGAAUAAGCACCGGCUAACUUCGUGCCAGCAGCCGCGGUAAUACGAAGGGUGCAAGCGUUACUCGGAAUUACUGGGCGUAAAGCGUGCGUAGGUGGUUCGUUAAGUCUGCCGUGAAAGCCCCGGGCUCAACCUGGGAAGGGCGGUGGAUACUGGCGGGCUAGAGUGCGGUAGAGGGUGGUGGAAUUCCCGGUGUAGCAGUGAAAUGCGUAGAGAUCGGGAGGAACAUCUGUGGCGAAGGCGGCCACCUGGACCAGCACUGACACUGAGGCACGAAAGCGUGGGGAGCAAACAGGAUUAGAUACCCUUGUAGUCC
This 450-nucleotide ribosomal RNA is filed under the name uncultured bacterium. RNAcentral describes it as "partial 16S ribosomal RNA". It matches the Rfam family "Bacterial small subunit ribosomal RNA", at positions 354 to 796 of the family's 1533-position model. The record is from RNAcentral.